RNAcentral lists this ribosomal RNA (240 nucleotides) under uncultured bacterium. Its description in RNAcentral is "partial 16S ribosomal RNA". It matches the Rfam family "Bacterial small subunit ribosomal RNA", at positions 15 to 230 of the family's 1533-position model. The record is from RNAcentral.
GAUCCUGGCUCAGGACGAACGCUGGCGGCGUGCUUAACACAUGCAAGUCGAACGAAGAGCGAUGGAAGCUUGCUUCUAUCAAUCUUAGUGGCGAACGGGUGAGUAACGCGUAAUCAACCUGCCCUUCAGAGGGGGACAACAGUUGGAAACGACUGCUAAUACCGCAUACGAUCCGACCUCGGCAUCGAGGGAUGGACUGAAAGGUGGCCUCUAUUUAUAAGCUAUCACUGAAGGAGGGGA